AAAAUAACGGUCCCCAUUAAGCCUGAGACGCGAUGCCGAGCCGAUUCAGGCGAAGUCACUGAUUCCAUGCUGCCUAGAAAAGCCACUAGUUAGUUGGCACGGUGCCCGUACCCCAAACCAACACAGGUGGGCGGGUAGAGAAUACCAAGGCGAUCGGGAGAACUGUGGUUAAGGAACUCGGCAAAAUCCCUCCGUAACUUCGGGAGAAGGAGGACCCCAUUAGCGUGAACACCCUUGCGGUGCGAGCGUGAAGGGGUGGCACAGACCAGGGGAAAGCGACUGUUUACUAAAAACACAGCAGCGUGCGAAGUCGCAAGACGAUGUAUACGCUGUGACGCCUGCCCGGUGCCGGAAGGUUACGGGGAAGGGUUAGUCCGCAAGGACGAAGCUCUGAACCUAAGCCCCGGUAAACGGCGGCCGUAACUAUAACGGUCCUAAGGUAGCGAAAUUCCUUGUCGGGUAAGUUCCGACCUGCACGAAUGGCGUAACGACUUUCCUACUGUCUCAACCACAGACCCGGCGAAAUUGAAGUACGAGUAAAGAUGCUCGUUAGCUGCAGAAGGACGGUAAGACCCCGUGGACCUUUACUAUAACUUGGUGUUGGGUUCGGGUAUGCGCUGUGUAGGAUAGGUGGGAGACUUGGAAGCAUUGGCGCCAGCCAGUGUGGAGUCACUGUUGAAAUACCACCCUGCGUAUGCCGGAGCUCUAACCUCGACCCGUUAUCCGGGUUAGGGACAGCGCCAGGCGGGUAGUUUGACUGGGGCGGUCGCCUCCUAAAGAGUAACGGAGGCGCCCAAAGGUUCCCUCAGCCUGGUCGGCCAUCAGGCGUUGAGUGCAAUGGCACAAGGGAGCUUGACUGCGAGACCUACAAGUCAAGCAGGUGCGAAAGCAGGGCAUAGUGAUCCGGCGGUUGCGUGUGGAAGCGCCGUCGCUCAACGGAUAAAAGGUACCCCGGGGAUAACAGGCUCAUCUUCCCCAAGAGUCCAUAUCGACGGGAUGGUUUGGCACCUCGAUGUCGGCUCAUCGCAUCCUGGGGCUGAAGCAGGUCCCAAGGGUUGGGCUGUUCGCCCCUUAAAGCGGUACGCGAGCUGGGUCUAGAACGUCGUGAGACAGUUCGGUCCCUAUCCUCUGCAGCCGGAGGAAACUUGAGAAAGCCUGUCCCUAGUACGAGAGGACCGGGACGGACGCAGCUCUGGUGUGCCAGUUGUCCUGCCAAGGGCACGGCUGGUUAGCCACCUGCGGAAGAGAUAAGCGCUGAAAGCAUCUAAGCGCGAAGCUUGUUUCAAGAUGAGGUUUCCCACAGGGUUAACCUGGUAAGGCCCGUGGCCAGACGACCACGUUGAUAGGCCGGAGGUGUAAGCGUGGCAACACGUUCAGCCGACCGGUACUAAUCGGCCGAGGGCUUGGACC
This 1410-nucleotide ribosomal RNA is filed under the name metagenome. RNAcentral describes it as "bacterial LSU rRNA". It matches the Rfam family "Bacterial large subunit ribosomal RNA", at positions 1537 to 2925 of the family's 2925-position model. The record is from RNAcentral.